Molecule: ribosomal RNA, 275 nt
Filed under: uncultured bacterium
Lineage: Bacteria
Description: partial 16S ribosomal RNA
Rfam family: Bacterial small subunit ribosomal RNA
Source: RNAcentral
CCUACGGGGGGCAGCAGUGAGGAAUAUUGGUCAAUGGGCGGAAGCCUGAACCAGCCAUGCCGCGUGAAGGACGAAGGCGUUCUGCGUUGUAAACUUCUUUUAUAAGGGAAGAAACCUGGAUUUUCUAAUUCAGCCGACGGUACCUUAUGAAUAAGCACCGGCUAACUCCGUGCCAGCAGCCGCGGUAAUACGGAGGGUGCAAGCGUUAUCCGGAUUUACUGGGUUUAAAGGGUGUGUAGGCGGGUUUGUAAGUCAGGGGUGAAAUCCUACAGCUU